CCUACGGGGGGCAGCAGUGGGGAAUAUUGGGCAAUGGAGGCAACUCUGACCCAGCAACGCCGCGUGAAUGAUGAAGGUCUUCGGAUUGUAAAGUUCUGUGAUGGGGGAUGAACACAAUGACGGUACCCCAAUAGCAAGCCACGGCUAACUACGUGCCAGCAGCCGCGGUAAUACGGAGGUGGCAAGCGUUAUCCGGACUGACUGGGCGUAAAGGGUGCGUAGGUGGUUUAGUAAGUUAGCGGUGUAAUUCCGUGGCUCAACCUCGGCGCUACCGCAAAAACUAUUAGACUAGAGUGCAGGAGGGGUAAGUGGAAUUCGUAGUGUAGCGGUGGAAUGCGUAGAUAUUAGGAGGAACAUCAGGGGCGAAGGCGACUUACUGGACUGUAACUGACACUGAGGCACGAAAGCGUGGGGAGCAAACAGGAUUAGAUACCCUGGUAGUC
RNAcentral lists this ribosomal RNA (443 nucleotides) under uncultured bacterium. Its description in RNAcentral is "partial 16S ribosomal RNA". It matches the Rfam family "Bacterial small subunit ribosomal RNA", at positions 338 to 795 of the family's 1533-position model. The record is from RNAcentral.